UCAGCCUUCGCACAUCAAUCAGAUGAGAGGGGCAGAAAAGGAAGCAAGAGAGAAAUGAAAACAAAAGUCGAAUUCAGCUUGGGGACUCGGAGCUCUGGGGUGUUAACAAAAAGGUGUUGCAAGAAGCGAUGAAUUCUGCAGAGUGAGAAGGAUGGGGGAGUGGGAUGGAACUAAUGCGAGCGGAGGCAGGAGUUUGCCAAGUCCUGCGGGGUCGGGAAGAUCCUGCGAGCCGCGGGAGGAGCUCAGGGGAGGUCAGAGCCUAGGCUUGCAGCUGCGCCUUCCCACCUCGGCUAACAAGAGCUCCACCCCGUGGUCCCCUGCCCUCCGGCUCCUCCUUCCGGGAAGGCACUAUUCCCUCACUGAAAACCAGAGAGGAUCUCCGCCUGCGGAAAGUCAGAAUGGAGUCUGGAAGGCGCGAGCAAAAACCCUUUAAAUGUCCACGUCGCCCGCCCCCACCCCCAGCCGUGGCGGGCCCCAUCCAGCGAGAACUAGUGGCCCCAGGGGUCUGUGACUGGAGUAACUGUGGAGAAAUGUGAACAAAUACAAAUACAAAUAGACCCACAGGAACGAGAAAUUCCCUUCCUUCCUUCCUUCCUUCCUUCCUUCCUUCCUUCCUUCCUCCCUCCCUCCCUUCCUCCCUUCCUUGCGAGUUUUUCUUUGCCCUGUAGAAUCGGAACUUUUUAAGUUUUUCCUUCUUAAAGCAUAAGAGUGGAGACUAAAGCACUUGGAUCCGCCCCCGCCCCGAAGUCUCUCAUUGAAAAUUACUUUUAUUAUCUAACUCUUCCCACAGGAAGUUUCAUCUAACGGGAAAUAAAACGAUGCAGACAGACUACCCCAUACAGGUAAUGAUAAUAGUAAACAGGAAAACGGUUCUCAUCCAGAUGAGUUCAACCCGGAGGAGAAAAUAUAAAACAGAUCCCUCACAGGCUACGCCUUCCAAAAGUCUUCCGUUUCCACCCCGGCUGCCCCUUUGACUUUCACAGCAUUGUACGCGGGAAGUCCUGCGGCGGCCCAACCACUGUGCCCCUUCAGAGGAAGACCGUCGAGCAGAGGGGUUGCAGUGUCAGAAGACAGCGGGUGCGCAGAGGCAAAACCUGCAACAAAGCCUGACGUCACUAGAAUAGUCCUGAAUUAUCCAGCCUUUCUCCUCUGUCAGUAUUAGGCAACGAAAGUCAGUCUCCACUUCCAAGAGCACAGAGUGGGGUACGGAUUUAAUCCCCUGCACCGGCUCAAUGGCACUUAGGGAAUGUCAGAGGCUGACUUGAGUUUAUGGAAUUUUUAUCUCUAAAAUGAUCAUUAACAGCGGUCUGUGACUUCAAUGUUUUUAGAAGGAAGUGUGUCCACUUCAUAGGAAAUCAACAACAGAUGGCGACCAGGGUACCAUUUAAUUAAUAAAUAAACUAUUCCUGAUUUACAAUUA
Mesocricetus auratus (golden hamster) is the source of this 1420-nucleotide long non-coding RNA. RefSeq lists it as uncharacterized. Lineage: Eukaryota; Metazoa; Chordata; Mammalia; Rodentia; Cricetidae. The transcript has 2 exons. The record is from RefSeq and is a predicted model, not a curated record.